Molecule: ribosomal RNA, 492 nt
Filed under: uncultured bacterium
Lineage: Bacteria
Description: partial 16S ribosomal RNA
Rfam family: Bacterial small subunit ribosomal RNA
Source: RNAcentral
AGUGAACGCUGGCGGUAGGCCUAACACAUGCAAGUCGAACGGCAGCACAGUAAGAGCUUGCUCUUACGGGUGGCGAGUGGCGGACGGGCGAGGAAUACAUCGGAAUCUACUUUUUCGUGGGGGAUAACGUAGGGAAACUUACGCUAAUACCGCAUACGACCUACGGGUGAAAGCAGGGGAUCUUCGGACCUUGCGCGAUUGAAUGAGCCGAUGUCGGAUUAGCUAGUUGGCGGGGUAAAGGCCCACCAAGGCGACGAUCCGUAGCUGGUCUGAGAGGAUGAUCAGCCACACUGGAACUGAGACACGGUCCAGACUCCUACGGGAGGCAGCAGUGGGGAAUAUUGGACAAUGGGCGCAAGCCUGAUCCAGCCAUACCGCGUGGGUGAAGAAGGCCUUCGGGUUGUAAAGCCCUUUUGUUGGGAAAGAAAAGCAGCAGGUUAAUACCCCGCUGUUCUGACGGUACCCAAAGAAUAAGCGCCGGCUAACUUCGUG